Molecule: long non-coding RNA, 2108 nt
Organism: Mauremys mutica (yellowpond turtle)
Lineage: Eukaryota; Metazoa; Chordata; Testudines; Geoemydidae
Exons: 4
Source: RefSeq, a predicted model, not a curated record
CUUAGACUUUAGUCACCUUGUCCUUUUCUUCCCUCUUAGACCUGCACAACUUCUCUGAAAUGAAUCUCCCUUGGCUUUUACAGUAAAGAAUAAGAAUUCAGCACAAUGAUCUUAGAAUGGAAAUAGCAACCUUAGGGCUUGUUUUCAUGAGUAGGCUAUUACUUCUACAAGAAAACAAUCUCACGAGAAGACUACAGCUUUACAGAUCAAUGGAGAUACCUUCAGACUGCUGAACAACUAUUUUAAAGUAUUAUAGAUAAAAUUUUAAAGAUUUCACAAAUGUUCUUGGCCAUCCUGUAUACUUCUGACAGCUCUCCAAAGGACCCAUCUUCUGGCUAAAGAAAAGUGGAAAUAACAGAUAGCCUUCACAAAGGUCAUUGGAUUCAGUACUUUGGAAGGAAAGCCCACUGACACUUGAUGAUUUGAAAGCAAAUCCUCAGAGAUACUCAGAUACCACUCAUCAGUCACCAGAUGGACACCUAUGUUUUUAAACAGCGACAGUUUGCUAUCUGCUAAAUUUCAUUUAAUGGUCUCUGCUCCAGAGCAGAUAACAAUAAUUCAGGGAAUUUAUCUGGAUUAUCUGACUGACCUUUUCCUCUAAUUUCUCAGUCAGUCUUGCUUCUUGCUUUCAACAUGUGUCAGAAGUCAUUGCUGCUCUCCUCUCCUGUCCCUGAAAUGUCACUGCCUUGAUACUCUGUAAGUGAUUCUGCCUAACUCUUGUCUUGCUCCUGUGUUCUGUUGUUGCCUACAUUACCAUUAUUCUGCCAGUCUUGCAGCCUGAAACGUACACAAAAUAUGUGUUAGCAUGCAAAGUUAUUAUUUUCUUUGGGUUGUUAAACAUGCCAAUCUAAUCCUACACUAUCUACUCCGCCUCUUUCAGGUUAAGAAGUAGUAAAAGCAAGUGUGCAAAAAGAAAACAAGGCCCAUUUUUAAGCAAUAGAAUUCUUUAUUGAGUUAAUCCUAAUUGCUGAAUUAUCAUUUCAGAUACUAUAUAUUUGGCAAAGCAAACUGGAUAUUUAUCCUUCUGUGUGUUACAUCAACUUAAUGUCAGUGAACGCUCUUUCCUAUUCUAGCAAAUAGUGACAUACCCAGCAGUUUUGCCAGGUUGGAAACUGAUUAUUCAUCUUUAAAAAUUGAUAGGACUAUUUUGUGUUAAUUAGAAGUAAUGAUAGAUUUUUCUGGUUUUUUUAAGUAUAUUCCAUUGUUGUCCUUUAGCUUUUAAUAGACUUUGAUUGACAGCUUUGGAUAACUCUAGUGAGUUGGCUCAGAGGAAUAACACUCAAAUAAAGCAAAACAUAAAUAUUAUUAACAAAACUAUUCAUCUCAACUGCUUCAUCAAAAUUAAUUCAGCUUCUCAAACUGCACGUAACUGUCUAAUAAAGAGUUAGCUGCAUCACACAGUCUGUGAACAUUCAAUCAGGAUGGCAUAAUGUUGCAGUAUUAUUGAAAUAAACAUAAACCUUUUAGUAACCUGCCAGGGGAUCCUGAUAGAUUAUUUUCAUUGAAUUUCUAAUUGCAGUAAAGCUGCCAUUGUAGUCUAAAGUGAAAAUAGUGACUGUAAAUAUGAUCUAAUUGUGUGUUUCCUUCAUAAAUUAAUAUAGCAGACUCAAAACAGAUAGUAUGGUAAAAAGGUAAAUAAGUGUUUUAUUUUUUUAAAAAUUAAUACACAAUAGAUGCCUUACUGGCUCUUGAAAACCAGCAUGUAUCAUGAAGUAAACAGUAGAAGUUAAUGCAAUUUUGAUUUGGUAUUUCUAUCCCAUUUUCAGUUUUCUGUGAACAUUUGUACAAGCAUAUUUUUGUUUACAUGGCCAUUUGUGGACCGAAUACGUACAUAAUUAUUUGCUCUGGAAGUACUCAUAUGGCCAUCUUGGUAUUUAUUCAUGGACUUGUGUGUUGGAAUGCCAUCGAAACAGAACCAGUAUAAUGUGACCUGGGUAACCAGAAUAAAAUCACAGAUAUAUUAGUUACUCAUCUGAAUACUCACAGCAGAUCAUUUGUGAGCAAUCAAUUGGCAGAAAUUAGUUUGCACAAAAGGCUUGUUAAAUAAUUGCAAUUGGCGAGCCAAUUAAUAAAAAUCAAUCUGUUUGCAGGCAGUUCACAAACAAGUA